Molecule: ribosomal RNA, 105 nt
Filed under: Propithecus coquereli (Coquerel's sifaka)
Lineage: Eukaryota; Metazoa; Chordata; Mammalia; Primates; Indriidae
Source: RNAcentral
AUGGACAUACCACCCUGAACACACCUGAUCUCAGAAGCUAAGCAGGGUUAGCCCCAGUUAGUACUUGGAUGAGAGAAAAGAAGUUUAAAAUUGGUCAAAAUUAUU